Dermochelys coriacea (leatherback sea turtle) is the source of this 237-nucleotide long non-coding RNA. RefSeq lists it as uncharacterized. The transcript has 3 exons. Lineage: Eukaryota; Metazoa; Chordata; Testudines; Dermochelyidae. The record is from RefSeq and is a predicted model, not a curated record.
ACACAAGUCAAGCUCUCCAAGAAAAAGAAUUGGAUUUGAAAACAUGUGCAGACCUCUGUCAUUAGCAGACUACUUACACACUUUGAGGAAUGAUUUAGAAAGAUCUGAAGACAUAUCAAAAUAUAUCUUACCUGAUACUAACUACAAAGAAGCCCAGUCCCGCAAGCGAAUCAGGAAAAAACAAGCAAAUGAUAGCAGUGCCACAAAAACAGCACUGAAUCCUAGAGACAAAUUUCA